GACAGCAGCAGCCACGGGAAUACGUAGGGUGCAAGCGUUAUCCGGAAUGAUUGGGCGUAAAGCGUGCGCAGGCGGUUGUGUAAGACAGGUGUGAAAUCCCCGGGCUUAACCUGGGAACUGCGCUUGUGACUGCACAGCUAGAGUAUGGCAGAGGGGGGUGGAAUUCCACGUGUAGCAGUGAAAUGCGUAGAGAUGUGGAGGAACACCGAUGGCGAAGGCAGCCCCCUGGGCCAAUACUGACGCUCAUGCACGAGAGCGUGGGGAGCAAACAGGAUUAGAUACCCCUGUAGUCCCUGUCUCUUAUAC
Molecule: ribosomal RNA, 306 nt
Filed under: uncultured bacterium
Lineage: Bacteria
Description: partial 16S ribosomal RNA
Rfam family: Bacterial small subunit ribosomal RNA
Source: RNAcentral